AUAUUAUUAAGCGGAGGAAAAGAAACUAACAAGGAUUCCCUUAGUAAUGGCGAAUGAAGAGGGAAGAGCUCAAGAUUGAAUCGGGUGUCUAAACGGGCACUUGAGUUGUAAUCUAAAGAGCGUGUGAUCAAUCACGUGUACCCGGGCUUAACUCCUUGGAAAAGGGGAUCAUGGAGGGUGAGAAUCCCGUCUAUGACUCGGUGUUCGCUGUGUUUUUGAGCAUACGUUCUAAGAGUCGACUAGGUUGGGAUUCCUGGUCAAAGCAGGUGGUAAAUGCCAUCUAAAGCUAAAUACCG
This 296-nucleotide ribosomal RNA is filed under the name uncultured eukaryote. Its description in RNAcentral is "partial large subunit ribosomal RNA". It matches the Rfam family "Eukaryotic large subunit ribosomal RNA", at positions 40 to 325 of the family's 3401-position model. The record is from RNAcentral.